AUACAAACCAGCUCACUGUAGCAGUUUUUUGAAAAUGAUGGGGUGGCAGGAUGCUACUGAUAAAGAAGAGAAGAAAGAUGGAUAAAUUCAGAAGUUCUUGGGAUCUUCUGUGGACAAUCAGUUACCUAUCUGAAAAAUACUAGCAGAGGGAUUUCCUUUGUGGAAAAGACAAUAUGUCUUGGGUUCUAUAUAUAUGUACUGAGAGGAAGUAUGCUCAUUUGGAUCUAGAUAUUCUUUACUGUUACCACAACUCUAUUAAUCUAAGGAUGGCAUAUAACAGGAGUAUCCUUUCCACACUCCAAAGAAGUAUACUUGCUGCAUACAUAUGUCAAUACUUAAUUCUUCCAGCCCAUCUUCAAUAUGAAUUAAAACUAUGGAUCUUUAAAGAAAGAGGGAAGAAAGUCUGUAUAUUUUUUUGAAUUGCCUAAAGCUGAGAACUACACCAAUUACAAAAUAUUUUCUUUCCACACCACUGAAAUAGAUUCAUUUUUUCUUAAUUUAAGAUUUUUCUUUAAUUUAAGAUUUCUUAGAUGGAAUUCAAUAAGAAUUAAUUUUUACUUAGAAAUGAUUCUAUGUCAAUACAGAACCAGUGAUGUGAGUUUUCUUAGAUACCAUGAAUACUCAUGUAAACUGCAUGUAAAACCAAUAUGCAAUAACUACAGAAAAAUGACAAAUAUGAAGAAUCUUAACAUUUCAUGUCAAAACUGUAUUUAUAUUACUGACAACUGAUCUGUCUAGAAUGGAACAGAAUAAGAGAGUGCUGUAUUUCUAGCAGAUAGGGAAAAUACAUAUCUGGAACAAAGA
Lagopus muta (rock ptarmigan) is the source of this 804-nucleotide long non-coding RNA. RefSeq lists it as uncharacterized. The transcript is spliced from 3 exons. Lineage: Eukaryota; Metazoa; Chordata; Aves; Galliformes; Phasianidae. The record is from RefSeq and is a predicted model, not a curated record.